GACCAGUUAGUUCAGUGGUUUGAGCGCGGUGCUGACAACAAGGACCAACACCAAGGUCGCAGGUUCGAUUCCCUGCUCAGGUCC
This is a non-coding RNA of Apaloderma vittatum (bar-tailed trogon), 84 nucleotides long. Lineage: Eukaryota; Metazoa; Chordata; Aves; Trogoniformes; Trogonidae. The record is from Rfam.